RNAcentral lists this ribosomal RNA (253 nucleotides) under uncultured prokaryote. Its description in RNAcentral is "partial 16S ribosomal RNA". It matches the Rfam family "Bacterial small subunit ribosomal RNA", at positions 524 to 776 of the family's 1533-position model. The record is from RNAcentral.
UACAGAGGGUGCAAGCGUUGUUCGGAAUCAUUGGGCGUAAAGCGCGUGUAGGCGGCCAUCUAAGUCUGGUGUGAAAGCCCAGGGCUUAACCCUGGAAGUGCACUGGAUACUGGGUGGCUAGAGGACGAGAGAGGACAAUGGAAUUCAUGGUGUAGGGGUGAAAUCCGUAGAUAUCAUGAGGAACAUCUGUGGCGAAGGCGAUUGUCUGGCUCGUUUCUGACGCUGAGACGCGAAAGCGUGGGGAGCAAACAGG